This 253-nucleotide ribosomal RNA is filed under the name uncultured bacterium. RNAcentral's name for it is "partial 16S ribosomal RNA". It matches the Rfam family "Bacterial small subunit ribosomal RNA", at positions 524 to 776 of the family's 1533-position model. The record is from RNAcentral.
UACGUGGGGUGCAAGCGUUGUUCGGAAUUACUGGGCGUAAAGCGUGUGUAGGCGGCUCGUUAAGUCUGACGUGAAAUCCCUGGGCUUAACCCAGGAACUGCAUCGGAAACUAGCGAGCUUGAGUCCGGGAGAGGGUAGUGGAAUUCCUGGUGUAGAGGUGAAAUUCGUAGAUAUCAGGAGGAACACCGGUGGCGAAGGCGGCUACCUGGACCGGUACUGACGCUGAGACACGAAAGCGUGGGGAGCAAACAGG